UUUUAAAUUUAGAGUUUGAUCCUGGCUCAGGACGAACGCUGGCGGCGUGCUUAACACAUGCAAGUCGAGCGAUGAAGCUUCCUUCGGGAAGUGGAUUAGCGGCGGACGGGUGAGUAACACGUGGGUAACCUGCCUCAAAGUGGGGGAUAGCCUUCCGAAAGGAAGAUUAAUACCGCAUAAUAUAAGAGAAUCGCAUGAUUUUUUUAUCAAAGAUUUAUUGCUUUGAGAUGGACCCGCGGCGCAUUAGCUAGUUGGUAAGGUAACGGCUUACCAAGGCAACGAUGCGUAGCCGACCUGAGAGGGUGAUCGGCCACAUUGGAACUGAGACACGGUCCAGACUCCUACGGGAGGCAGCAGUGGGGAAUAUUGCGCAAUGGGGGAAACCCUGACGCAGCAACGCCGCGUGGGUGAUGAAGGUCUUCGGAUUGUAAAGCCCUGUUUUCUAGGACGAUAAUGACGGUACUAGAGGAGGAAGCCACGGCUAACUACGUGCCAGCAGCCGCGGUAAUACGUAGGUGGCGAGCGUUGUCCGGAUUUACUGGGCGUAAAGGGUGCGUAGGCGGAUGUUUAAGUGGGAUGUGAAAUCCCCGGGCUUAACCUGGGGGCUGCAUUCCAAACUGGAUAUCUAGAGUGCAGGAGAGGAAAGCGGAAUUCCUAGUGUAGCGGUGAAAUGCGUAGAGAUUAGGAAGAACACCAGUGGCGAAGGCGGCUUUCUGGACUGUAACUGACGCUGAGGCACGAAAGCGUGGGUAGCAAACAGGAUUAGAUACCCUGGUAGUCCACGCCGUAAACGAUGGAUACUAGGUGUAGGGGGUAUCAACUCCCCCUGUGCCGCAGUUAACACAAUAAGUAUCCCGCCUGGGGAGUACGGUCGCAAGAUUAAAACUCAAAGGAAUUGACGGGGGCCCGCACAAGCAGCGGAGCAUGUGGUUUAAUUCGAAGCAACGCGAAGAACCUUACCUGGACUUGACAUCCCUUGCAUAGCCUAGAGAUAGGUGAAGCCCUUCGGGGCAAGGAGACAGGUGGUGCAUGGUUGUCGUCAGCUCGUGUCGUGAGAUGUUAGGUUAAGUCCUGCAACGAGCGCAACCCUUGUUAUUAGUUGCUACCAUUAAGUUGAGCACUCUAAUGAGACUGCCUGGGUAACCAGGAGGAAGGUGGGGAUGACGUCAAAUCAUCAUGCCCCUUAUGUCCAGGGCUACACACGUGCUACAAUGGUAGGUACAAUAAGACGCAAGACCGUGAGGUGGAGCAAAACUUAUAAAACCUAUCUCAGUUCGGAUUGUAGGCUGCAACUCGCCUACAUGAAGCUGGAGUUGCUAGUAAUCGCGAAUCAGAAUGUCGCGGUGAAUACGUUCCCGGGCCUUGUACACACCGCCCGUCACACCAUGAGAGCUGGUAACACCCGAAGUCCGUGAGGUAACCGUAAGGAACCAGCGGCCGAAGGUGGGAUUAGUGAUUGGGGUGAAGUCGUAACAAGGUAGCCGUAGGAGAACCUGCGGCUGGAUCACCUCCUUUCUA
This 1518-nucleotide ribosomal RNA is filed under the name Clostridium botulinum. RNAcentral's name for it is "bacterial SSU rRNA". It matches the Rfam family "Bacterial small subunit ribosomal RNA". The record is from RNAcentral. Lineage: Bacteria; Bacillati; Bacillota; Clostridia; Eubacteriales; Clostridiaceae.